CUCAUUCAUUCAAAUCAAAGCAAAUACAAAGGAAUAGAUGCAAAGAUUUCAAAGUUUAAACUGAUACAAAGGUUACAAAGAUGGGCAUUCCCCAAUACCAUAAAAGAGUAGAUAGGUAACAUCGAGAUAGACUCCAUGAGAGCUAUGAACGAGUCACUAGGAAGCGGCUUGGAGCUCCGAUGAGAGCAGAUUUGUAAAUCCGAUCGGGUUUUAAUUCGGGUCCAACAAGUCAACGAUGAGUCAACACCAACGCAAAUCGUCCGGUUUGUCGACAUUUGAUAUGUAUGGUGUUCCGCACAUAACUUCUUAAACUUCAGACAUAUAACCAUGUAUUAUAUAUAGGUCAUGUAGGUGGAUGUCCUUUACCAUAGUUUGCAUGUGUGGCCAUGCAUUCUGUAAUACUUGAGGUAGCUCACUAUCUUUUUUCCUCAUCAGCUUGCUGGAGUUUCUCUCUUGAGACUCUUGUAGAUGAGAAGUUGAUGUUGCGUUUCUUGUGAACGUUAUAUCAAGUGUUAUCAAUUGUGUGUUUUGAAUCCAUUGUGUUUUGAAUUCUCUGUUUUACGUUAACAGCCAAGUUCAGACUGUGAUAUGUGACUGAGGCGAGAAACCCAUAAGAGAAGGAAGCCAUAAUCCUGAGAAGAUUAUCGCCAAACACCGCCGCCGUCUCCGCCUGGCAAGGCUCAGGUGACGGUACGGAGGAGGGGUCUUCAGAGGUGAGCCAGGUUCCAGAUCGAGAUUUAAAAAAGACCAGGGGUUGUAGAUCCGCCGACACAGAGGUUGACCAAGGAUAAGACUGGGUGGAGUUCGCCGGAAACCACCUCCAUCGAUAAUCGAUGAACCACAUGCCAUACCUAGAGUAGGUUGGUUCAAGAGGGUUUGGGGAGAUUUCAAAAGGGGACAAAAGAUGGGGAGACAAAACAUAAAACUAACGCUAACCGAGCAGAGAUUUAAAGGGAACAUGAGAGAGGAACUAUUGUCCCGACGCCGGCGAGCUAAAGCUUCGCCGACGUCGGAGGAGUUUAAUGGGAGAGAUACCUCGAUAAUUGUGUCUGGGAGAGAAAGGAGUUCUGCUGUGACGAGUUCGUUAAAAUUGUACUAUACAUUCAUACGUUUGAUUAGCACAAGAAUUAAUGCUUCGAUCAUGAUCAUAAAUUGGUAUCUAAAUUGUUCUCAAAAAUUUUAUGCAUAUCACUCACUGUGUUUUGUUGGUCUUUUAAAUUCUUGAUGGAUCGGUCUUUCUUAUUACUAGCAAAUACAGCUUGGUUAUGAGUGAGAGUGUUUUUUGUUUGGUUAUUGGUUAUAUUGUUUAGGUGCUACUGGGAACAAGAGCUCAAAGUAAUGAAAAGCUUCAUAAUUUUUUGGAUAAGGUGAAGGCACAAACCCAAAGAGCUGAAGGUUGUUGAAGCUCAUUGCCAUCUAGGCUUUACCAUUACAAAGGUGGAUAUAUUCAGAGGUGAUGCAGUCUUAUGGUAGAAUUCAUUUGAUCACCUUCGGCGUCAAGGCUUUGACUGUUUGAUCUACGUAACAUGGAGAAUGGUUCAAGGUUUUCUCAUUCGCUAGAUCUUGAUUAUUGUCGUGUCAUGUCUGUUAUAAUCUCCGCAGAUCAGUACAUGGAUCACCAUCCAGCGGGUGGAACUCAAAUCGUUUGGUGGGUGAUGAAGAAGGAGAACCAGCAAGAUUACUUUGAUUGAGCAAAACCUGUAAUCAGCCCCCACUUGUGUUGCCUCGUUAGACUCUACUGCAGAUGUCUACGGUACAAACUCCCAGGUCACGGAUGAUGCUUUUGUUUAUCAGUGAUGGCUUUAACUGAUUGUCCUCUGACGUUCUCAUGUUGCCCAUAACAUACUGUUGCCAACAAUCUGAUUAAAUUUGUUUUAUGUUUCUGCUUCAUAUACGUGCUGCUAUCAUGAUCAUAAAAAUAUUUUUUUUUUUCAAAAAUAAGAAUCCCAGUAAAAAUAUACCAUUGGAGUAGUAUAAUUAUAAUUAACAAACAAAAUUUUUUUAUUUUAUAAAAGUAUACUUUUUAAUCUUAAAACCUCAAAACAAUGAUCUGCCAAUGGAGAUGUCCUUACACAUUGAUGGUUUAAA
Non-coding RNA from Camelina sativa (false flax), 2088 nucleotides. NCBI's taxonomy places the organism in Eukaryota, Viridiplantae, Streptophyta, Magnoliopsida, Brassicales, Brassicaceae. The record is from RefSeq and is a predicted model, not a curated record.